Molecule: ribosomal RNA, 502 nt
Filed under: uncultured bacterium
Lineage: Bacteria
Description: bacterial SSU rRNA
Rfam family: Bacterial small subunit ribosomal RNA
Source: RNAcentral
UGGGCGCAAGCCUGAUGCAGCGACGCCGCGUGAGGGAUGACGGCCUUCGGGUUGUAAACCUCUUUCAGUAGGGGAGAAGCGAAAGUGACGGUACCUGCAGAAGAAGCGCCGGCUAACUACGUGCCAGCAGCCGCGGUAAUACGUAGGGCGCAAGCGUUAUCCGGAAUUAUUGGGCGUAAAGAGCUCGUAGGCGGUUUGUCGCGUCUGCCGUGAAAGUCCGGGGCUCAACUCCGGAUCUGCGGUGGGUACGGGCAGACUAGAGUGAUGUAGGGGAGACUGGAAUUCCUGGUGUAGCGGUGAAAUGCGCAGAUAUCAGGAGGAACACCGAUGGCGAAGGCAGGUCUCUGGGCAUUAACUGACGCUGAGGAGCGAAAGCAUGGGGAGCGAACAGGAUUAGAUACCCUGGUAGUCCAUGCCGUAAACGUUGGGCAUUAGGUGUGGGGGACAUUCCACGUUUUCCGCGCCGUAGCUAACGCAUUAAGUGCCCCGCCUGGGGAGUACG